This 247-nucleotide long non-coding RNA is filed under the name Amborella trichopoda. RNAcentral describes it as "long non-coding RNA (ATRI_LNC002346)". Lineage: Eukaryota; Viridiplantae; Streptophyta; Magnoliopsida; Amborellales; Amborellaceae. The record is from RNAcentral.
AGAGAGAGAGAGAGAGAGAGAGAGAGAGAGAGAGAGAGAGAGAGAGAAAUCAAGGGAGAGGAGCUGAAACAAUGAAGCAGAGGUAAACGAUCGCUGAUUUUCCAGGAGAUGGAGAGAGGGGAAGAGAGUGAAGGAAGAGAAAACACAAACAAAAGAGAACCGUUGGACGAGACGAAGGAAUUUGGUAUUAAUUUAAAAUCAAAACCCAAUAUCUGACCGUUGAAGCGAGGCUUUAUUGGAAAAUGAC